UUGGGGUGUCUGGGGGGGAUUUGGGGUCCCCAGGGUGGAUUUUGGGGUGUCUGGGGUGGAUUUGGGGUGCUCAGGAUGGAUUUGGGGUGCCCAUCAGCGUCUCCUCCACGGGCAGGAAAUAGGCCACGAACUGGUUCCCUUCCUCAUCCAUCAUCCCCCUGCGGGGACAGGCAGGAUUUGGGGGUGCUCAGGGUGGAUUUUGGGGUGUCCAGGGUGGAAUUUGGGGUGUCCAGGAUGGAUUUUGGGGUGCUCAGGAUGGAUUUGGGGUGCUCAGGGUGGAUUUGGGGUGCUCAGGGUGGAUUUUGGGGUGCUCAGGGUGGAUUUUGGGGUGCCCAGGGAGGAUUUUGGGGUCCCCAGUACCUGAUCAUGGCCUGGGACAUCAUCUCCAGCGCCGCCGCCCCCGAGGUGUCCUUGGGCGCCGGGUCGGAGUCGAAAAUCACCUGGGCACAGGGGUUGAUCCACAUCUGGGGAAAAUGGGGGAAAA
Molecule: long non-coding RNA, 484 nt
Organism: Poecile atricapillus (Black-capped chickadee)
Lineage: Eukaryota; Metazoa; Chordata; Aves; Passeriformes; Paridae
Exons: 3
Source: RefSeq, a predicted model, not a curated record